RNAcentral lists this ribosomal RNA (505 nucleotides) under uncultured bacterium. Its description in RNAcentral is "partial 16S ribosomal RNA". It matches the Rfam family "Bacterial small subunit ribosomal RNA", at positions 28 to 507 of the family's 1533-position model. The record is from RNAcentral.
GACGAACGCUGGCGGCGUGCCUAAUACAUGCAAGUAGAACGCACAGUUUAUACCGUAGCUUGCUACACCAUAAACUGUGAGUUGCGAACGGGUGAGUAACGCGUAGGUAACCUGCCUGGUAGCGGGGGAUAACUAUUGGAAACGAUAGCUAAUACCGCAUAAUAUUGAUUAUUGCAUGAUAAUUGAUUGAAAGAUGCUAUUGCAUCACUACCAGAUGGACCUGCGUUGUAUUAGCUAGUAGGUGAGGUAACGGCUCACCUAGGCGACGAUACAUAGCCGACCUGAGAGGGUGAUCGGCCACACUGGGACUGAGACACGGCCCAGACUCCUACGGGAGGCAGCAGUAGGGAAUCUUCGGCAAUGGACGAAAGUCUGACCGAGCAACGCCGCGUGAGUGAAGAAGGGUUUCGGAUCGUAAAGCUCUGUUGUAAGAGAAGAACGGGUGUGAGAGUGGAAAGUUCACACUGUGACGGUAUCUUAACAGAAAGGGACGGCUAACUACGUG